Long non-coding RNA from Mus musculus (house mouse), 1133 nucleotides. RefSeq annotates it as predicted gene, 52245. The record is from RefSeq and is a predicted model, not a curated record. Lineage: Eukaryota; Metazoa; Chordata; Mammalia; Rodentia; Muridae. The transcript has 3 exons.
ACAUUCUGUCUGAGAGAUCAGCAGCACGUGGAAGAAAAAUGUGCCCUGCUUCUGUCAACAUCAAUAGCAUGGGAACAGGACAUCUCUGAGCCUGAGUAAAGGCAGGAACAGAGACACCCAAGGGCCUUUAUAAGGACCUGGCAAGAAGAAAAACUACUAAGUUGGAGUGGGUCUGUUGUCUGAUUAUUAAGAAGAGUAUUGUUGGCGAAGAAAGCUUCCACAGCACAGUAGAAGUCCUGUGAAACACCAAGUGUUGAUGGUACCUCGUUGUGAAGGAUACAUCUAACUCCAGGGUUGGUGGCCGACUUGCAGGGGGAAGACUCAACCCAAAGGGCUCAUAUUGCCCAGAGUCAGGACGCAUGACUCUAAUGAAGACACCUUGCCAUCACAUUCAGCUGGGCAAAGCAGAAAUGGAAUGGUCAUUUCCAGGACAUGUUUGUGAGCUUGUUGUCAUCCUGCAGUGCUUUUUGACGCACUGAGGGUUUAGGAACAGAGAAAAGAGCCAUUUCCUCAUGAGUCAGGAGAAAUGGGGUACCAGGCAUAAGCAACACUCUAAGGACCACUCACUUCCUUGUGUGAGCAACAUUCAACCCCCAGAGAAACUAAUAAACUACAAUAUUCUCAAGAAGUCAACUGAACUGAACACAGACUUGGCCCUUUUGGUUGGGAAGAAUGCUGACACACAAUAUUGUUCACAAGGAGUUGGGUGCUUCAAGGACAAUGACAUUUGUGCAUGGAAACGCCUACCUUCCACUUGCCCGGAGGCCGAUUGUAAACAUGUUAAACAGUUUGCCCAAGGCACUCUAUUCCAGACUGCCUGUCAUAUAAACAACAUUAACAGUUUUGCUGAAGAGAAUAACUAAGUGAUUCUCACCUUACUUUCUACUUUUUCCAGGACUCCAGAGUAAUAUCUGUCCAGCUAGCAUGAACUAUGAAACCCUAGCAAUUGCUGGGAGGCUCGAGGGAGGAAAUAGCUAAAGGGAGAAAAGCAGUCACUGAAACUGCUACAGACACAAGUGAAGAUGUCUUGACUGCCAAAAGAGACUCCCUAGGCUUCCCACAUUAUUAUUCAUAAGAAGAAGGAAGCUGCCAGGCCGGCAGUGAGCACACCUUAAAUCUCAGCAUCGAGAGGC